RNAcentral lists this ribosomal RNA (668 nucleotides) under Vishniacozyma victoriae. Its description in RNAcentral is "partial large subunit ribosomal RNA". It matches the Rfam family "Eukaryotic large subunit ribosomal RNA", at positions 38 to 696 of the family's 3401-position model. The record is from RNAcentral. Lineage: Eukaryota; Fungi; Basidiomycota; Tremellomycetes; Tremellales; Bulleribasidiaceae.
GCAUAUCAAUAAGCGGAGGAAAAGAAACUAACUAGGAUUCCCUUAGUAACGGCGAGUGAACCGGGAUGAGCUCAAAUUUAAAAUCUGGCGUCUUUCAGGCGUCCGAGUUGUAAUCUAUAGAGGCGUUUUCCGCGCCGGACCGCGUCCAAGUCUCUUGGAAUAGAGUAUCAAAGAGGGUGACAAUCCCGUACUUGACGCGACAACCGGUGCUCUGUGAUACGUUCUCAAUGAGUCGAGUUGUUUGGGAAUGCAGCUCUAAAUGGGUGGUAAAUUCCAUCUAAGGCUAAAUAUUGGCGAGAGACCGAUAGCGAACAAGUACCGUGAGGGAAAGAUGAAAAGCACUUUGGAAAGAGAGUUAAACAGCACGUGAAAUUGUUAAAAGGGAAACGAUUGAAGUCAGUCGUGUGAAAGGUAUUCAGCCGUCUCUGGCGGUGUAUUUGCCUUUCACGGGUCAACAUCAGUUUGAUCCGGUAGAAAAAGGCGGGAGGAAGGUGGCACCCUCGGGUGUGUUAUAGCCUCCUGUCAUAUGUGCCGGACCAGACUGAGGAACGCAGCUUGCCGCAAGGCCGGGGUUCGCCCACGUACAAGCUUAGGAUGUUGACAUAAUGGCUUUAAACGACCCGUCUUGAAACACGGACCAAGGAGUCUAACAUAUCUGCGAGUGUUUG